Molecule: ribosomal RNA, 878 nt
Filed under: marine metagenome
Description: bacterial SSU rRNA
Rfam family: Bacterial small subunit ribosomal RNA
Source: RNAcentral
AGAGUUUGAUCCUGGCUCAGAACUAACGCUGGCGGUGUGUCUUAGUCAUGCAAGUCGCACGAGAAAGCACUCUUCGGAGUGCAAGUACAGUGGCGGACGGGUGAGUAACACGUGGGAAAUCUGCCCUCAAGUUGGGGACAACCCGCCUAACGGCGGGCUAAUACCGAAUGUGGUUCCUGCUUCGCAUGUGGCAAGAACUAAAGGUGGCCUAUCCUUGGAAGCUACCGCUUGUGGAUGAUCCCGCGCUCGAUUAGCUAGUUGGUAAGGUAACGGCUUACCAAGGCGACGAUCGAUAGCCGGCCUGAGAGGGUGAUCGGCCACACUGGGAUUGAGAUAAGGCCCAGUCUCCUACGGGAGCCAGCAGUCUAGAAAUUUGGGCAAUGGGCGAAAGCCUGACCCAGCGACACCGCGUGGGGGAUGAAGCUCCUCGGAGUGUAAACCCCUGUUAGGUGGGACGAAUCCCCGAUUGCAAAUAGUGAUCGGGGUUGACGGUACCACCAGAGGAAGCUCCGGCUAACUCCGUGCCAGCAGCCGCGGUAAUACGGGGGGAGCGAGCGUUGUUCGGAUUUAUUGGGCGUAAAGGGCGUACAGGCGGUAGUGUAAGUCAGAUGUGAAAUGCCUCGGCUCAACCGGGGAUCUGCAUUUGAUACUGCAUUACUUGAGUACAGGAGAGGAGAGCGGAAUUCUAGGUGUAGCGGUGGAAUGUGUAGAUAUCUGGAAGAACACCAGUGGCGAAGGCGGCUCUCUGGCCUGAUACUGACGCUGACGCGCGAAAGCUAGGGGAGCAAACAGGAUUAGAUACCCUGGUAGUCCUAGCUGUAAACGUUGGGCACUAGGUGUUGGGGGUAUCGACCCCCUCAGUGCCGAAGCUAACGCAU